GACGAACUGUGCAAACGUUAUUCGGAAUCACUGGGCUUGAAGAGUGCGUAGGUGGUUUAGUAAGUCUGCUGUUAAAGCGCGGGGCUUAACUCCGUAUCGGCAGUGGAAACUGCUAGACUAGAGUGUGGUAGGGGUAGAGGGAAUUCCCAGUGUAGCGGUGAAAUGCGUAGAUAUUGGGAAGAACACCGGUGGCGAAGGCGCUCUACUGGGCCAUAACUGACACUGAUGGACGAAAGCUAGGGGAGCGAAAGGG
Molecule: ribosomal RNA, 253 nt
Filed under: uncultured bacterium
Lineage: Bacteria
Description: partial 16S ribosomal RNA
Rfam family: Bacterial small subunit ribosomal RNA
Source: RNAcentral